AACGAACGCUGGCGGCAUGCCUAACACAUGCAAGUCGAACGAGACCUUCGGGUCUAGUGGCGCACGGGUGCGUAACGCGUGGGAACCUGCCCUUAGGUUCGGAAUAACUCCCCGAAAGGGGUGCUAAUACCGGUUAAUGUCUUCGGACCAAAGAUUUAUCGCCUUUGGAUGGGCCCGCGUUGGAUUAGCUAGUUGGUAGGGUAAAAGCCUACCAAGGCGACGAUCCAUAGCUGGUCUGAGAGGAUGAUCAGCCACACUGGGACUGAGACACGGCCCAGACUCCUACGGGAGGCAGCAGUGGGGAAUAUUGGACAAUGGGCGAAAGCCUGAUCCAGCAAGGCCGCGUGGGUGAUGAAGGCCUUAGGGUUGUAAAGCGCUUUUACCCGGGAUGAUAAUGACAGUACCGGGAGAAUAAGCUCCGGCUAACUCCGU
Molecule: ribosomal RNA, 432 nt
Filed under: uncultured bacterium
Lineage: Bacteria
Description: partial 16S ribosomal RNA
Rfam family: Bacterial small subunit ribosomal RNA
Source: RNAcentral